UAAUAUUUUCAAGAUGAGGAGGACAGGUUUCCCUCGGCCAUUGGUUGCCCGGAUAUAUCACCAUACCUAGCUUCCAUCUUUUUGCCACGUAUUGCCGGCCCCCAUACGUACUCAACCCUAUAAAUCAAACCCUUACAUUUCAGAGUUGAAUCGUUUAAGAAAAAAUGCCAGACCAUCCACCACCACCACACGGCGGCCACGGUCACGCACCACCCCCAGGUCCGGGACACCACGAGCCUCCUCCGCCCCAUGGCCAUGCUCCUCCUCCGGGGCCUCAUGCACCUCCUCCGGGACCCCAUGCACCUCCUCCGGGACCCCAUGCACCUCCUCCGGAACCCCAUGCACCUCCUCCGGGACCCCAUGCACCUCCUCAUGAUCCACACAAGCCACAUGACUGUCACCACGGUCACCACCACCCAUGAACCGAACUAGUCAUGAGGCCACGAUCGAGAAGCUAGUCUCAGCAAGUUGUUAUCUAUUUAUCUUUGUGCCUGUAAUGUGAUCUAGCUGCGGUUGUAGUUCUGAGUUGCUGGGUUUACUGGCUUUGCUCCAUUGAUCUCAUCGUUAUGUAAUGACUAAAAUAUGAGGACUAUGUAUGUAUCCAAAAGAAGGCUGAUCAUAUAUGUAUAAUAAGAAGAGUACUGGCUUUGUGGUUUAUGUAUAAUCCGCUUGUGUAAAACUUCUUCUUUUAUCCGUCUAAAUGUGAUGUAUAAUCAGAAAAUAUGGCCAGUUUGUCAUCUUGACCAACCUGAACUUACAAACUAAUUAAUUAAGUCAAUCUCCCCAAUUUCAUCAAUCUUCAUUAGGAUUUCAUCACUAGCUCAUUCCUUCACAGAUAAUUAACCAUUUGCUCGAUUGCUCUUAACAAACUGUAAUAGCCAAGAGGCAAACGCAUCCAUCUAAAUUCUAAAAAGUUAUUAACACAGGCUAGGGGUAAAUUAUCCUUUGUUCAGACCAAUCUCACAGUUGAAGCGAUGAAUUGGCUAAAACAAAAGCCUACGGGCAGAAAAACAAAGCAUCUCUAUUCGUACGGAAGAAUGACUUCCAUAUAUAGUAAGCCUUAUAGUUAUAACACCGUAAGUGUAUAAGAAUAGGAAUUCAUAAACGCAAUAAGAAGAAGACCGUGAAAGAGAUCGAAGAUUAAAGCAGGCCUUAAUGUCUUGUAUAUUCUGUACAAAAUUUCAACAGCCAGAUUUUCUCGAUGCAUUCGUCAGCUUCUGUUUGUAACCUUUCUUCUGUCAAAUCCUCCAUGGCUUUUCACGAGCAAUAAUUCUUGCAAGGUCCCAUUAACAAGCCUCACGUACGUUGUUCUUAUCUCCUUUUCCUUAGCUCACCAAGAAUUCAACUAUUACCAAGUGCAGCAACUAGUUUCUGUGAUCGAUCUACGGAAAGUUAAAGUUAUUGCUCAAAAGAGAAAGAGAAAACGGAAGUUAAAGUUCCAUGCUGCCCUAGUUCAAGUACGCACUCAGUUAUGAUCUUGUGGUUCUUACAAUGGAUGAAUGGAUGAAGCAUUACCACACAAAUACUCAGAAGAGAAAAACAAAACAACCACAGUGCACGAUUAACAUGCUAGCUAGCUUUCAUUGUGUGCAAAUAUCCUGAGCUACCAUUCCACCAAAACAAGCUAAAUAAGUUUAUCCUUGUAUGGAUAUUAUGUGAAUCGAAAUAAUUGUAUAUUUGAUUCUUAGAUAUUAUGUGGCACCUAUUACAACGAAGCAUGUGCCAUAUUCUGAAGAUAAUGUCGACACAUCUGAAUCAUCUAGAGCCCGUACCGACACCUUUCUCCUAUAAAAUCAACUCCUACUAGCUUAAACUCUUCAACAGUUCGCCACAUCAAGAACAACUUUCUUUUUGUUUAUACAAGCUAGUAGUCUCACCAAGAAUUCGAAGAUGCAUCACGGUGAUCAUCACGGCGGACCACCACACCACGGAGGAGGUCCGGGAGGAGGUCCGGGAGGUCCAGGAGGCGGCCCUCAACAUGGUCAUGGUCAUCAAGGAGCUCCGGGAGGAGGGCAUGGAGGACCAGGAGGAGGAGGGCAUGGAGGGCAAGGAGGAGGAGGACACGGAGGACCAGGAGGAGGAGGACAUGGAGGAGGAGGAGGAGGAGGACGAGGGGGGAGGAGGAGGACAUGGAGGAGGAGGAGGAGGAGGACGAGGGAGGAGGAGGAGGAGGACAUGGAGGAGGAGGAGGACGACGGAGGGCAUGGUGGUCACUGAUCAUGGCGCUAGACUACGUAUACUACUUGUGGUGUACUAGCUGGCUGAAUAAGUCUCUCUAUGUGACUUCUGUAGUAUUGUUUGUGUGUUAUCAUUUCCUAGUUGGGUCGAUCAGAUCCUAGAUAGUGAAGCUAGCUAGGGGAGUCGAUCUUGUGUUUGGAGUCUGUUAAUUAAUGUAUGUGUAUGGAUGUGUAAUAAAACCAUACUAGCUAUGUAUUUGAUUCGAGGCUUAACAUAUAUUGCAUGCAGCUAUAUAUAUAUAUAUAUAUAUAAUAUCCUUAGAUGACUAAGAACAUAAGAAACAGAGCAGUACUAUUGAUGAUUUACAAGAUUCAAUUUGUAUAAGUGAUCUUUGGCUUGUCCUAAUUAACCAUCAAGCAAAGCGCUAAGAACGAACAUAUUAUAUAUACUGCCAGAUGAUCAAGCAACUUUGCAGAGGGAUCAUGACGAAAUGUCCAUCUAGCAGCUUAAAUGCUUAAUUAGAACAAUUUUGCAAAACAAACACAAACUUGUAUAAUACGGUACCGAAAAUAUAAGUAUAACCGUUUGAAAUGUCAAGUUUAUCAAUCUUAUGAAAUCGAAGUAUCGUAAAUCGAUAAUGAUCUUCUUCAAAACUAGAACGAGAAUGUAACGUGUCUAUAUGACACUAUAAAUGUCUACGAAAUCAUGCGUUAAGAACAUAAUAUUAUAUUCCUUCGUUUUUUACUAAAGAAUAUCAUUACCGUUAAGCUUUAAUUGACAUACGUACGAUUGUACUUUGUAGUGAUACAUCUAAUUAUAUUGGUCGUGUGGUGCCCUUAGUAUAUUAAAAGGAAAAAACUAAAGAGACCAAAAGGCCCAAAGGAAACCACAGAAAUUGUCAUAAAGGUACAAGUGCAGCCCAACUUUCNNNNNNNNNNNNNNNNNNNNNNNNNNNNNNNNNNNNNNNNNNNNNNNNNNNNNNNNNNNNNNNNNNNNNNNNNNNNNNNNNNNNNNNNNNNNNNNNNNNNNNNNNNNNNNNNNNNNNNNNNNNNNNNNNNNNNNNNNNNNNNNNNNNNNNNNNNNNNNNNNNNNNGUCCUGAUCAUCACCUUCCUUGCCUAUGCUUCCUUCCACGCCUCCAGGAAGCCCCCCAGCAUCGUCAAGAGUGUUCUUGGCCCCAAACUCCUGUCCAAUUCGAGCUCUUUCGACACCGGUUGGGCUCCCUUUAAUGGCCCUGAUGGCACUCACAGGCUUGGAGAACUUGAUCUUGCAUUUCUAUCUGCAUAUUCUAUUGGAAUGUAUUUUGCAGGGCAUGUUGGUGAUAGGAUUGAUUUGAGGUUGUUUCUUGCUUAUGGGAUGUUAGGGAGUGGAGUUUUGACUUGUCUUUUCGGGUUAGGUUAUUGGUGCAAUGUGCAUAUGUUGUGGUACUUUGUGGGUGUGCAAGUUGUGUGUGGGUUGUUUCAGUCAAUAGGGUGGCCUUCUGUUGUGGCAGUUGUGGGGAAUUGGUUUAGGGUUUAGACAGCGGCCAUCACACGCCGGCCACGGUCACGCACCACCCCCAGGUCCGGGACACCACGAGCCUCCUCCGCCCCAUGGCCAUGCUCCUCCUCCGGGGCCUCAUGCACCUCCUUCGGGACCCCAUACACCUCCUCCGGAACCCCAUGCACCUCCUCCGGGACCCCAUGCACCUCCUCAUGAUCCACACAAGCCACAUGACCCGCACCACGGUCACCACCACCCAUGAACCGAACUAGUCAUGAGGGAUCACGAAGCUAGCUAGUCUCAGCAAGUUGUUAUCUAUUUCUGCCUGUAAUGUGAUCUAGCUGCGCUUGUAGUUCUGAGUUGCUGGGUUUACUGGCUUUGCUCCAUUGAUCUCAUCGUUAUGUAAUGACUAAAAUAUGAUGACUAUGUAUGUAUCCAAAAGAAGGCUGAUCAUAUAUGUAUAAUAAGAAGAGUACUGGCUUUCUGGUUUAUGUAUAAUCCGCUUGUGUAAAACUUCUUCUCUGUUAUCGGUCUAAAUGUGAUGUAUGAUCAGAAAAUAUGGUCAGUUUGUCCUCUUGACCAACCUUAACUUACAAACUAAUUAAGUCAAUCUCCCCAAUUUCAUCAAUCUUUAUUAGGAUUUCAUCACUCAUUCCUUCACAGAUAAUUAACCACACAUCCAAGCUGCAUUUGCUCGAUUGCUCUUAACAAACUGUAAUAAUUAACCAAGAGGCAAACGCAUCCAUCUAAAGUCUAAAAAUUAAGUUAUUAACACAAGGUUAAAUUAUCCAUUGUUCAGACCAAUCUCACAGUUAGAGCGAUGAAUUGGCUAAAACAAAAACCUACGGGAG
This 4509-nucleotide long non-coding RNA is filed under the name Fragaria vesca (wild strawberry). Its description in RNAcentral is "long non-coding RNA (FVES_LNC000046)". The record is from RNAcentral. Lineage: Eukaryota; Viridiplantae; Streptophyta; Magnoliopsida; Rosales; Rosaceae.